RNAcentral lists this ribosomal RNA (558 nucleotides) under uncultured bacterium. RNAcentral's name for it is "bacterial SSU rRNA". It matches the Rfam family "Bacterial small subunit ribosomal RNA", at positions 8 to 549 of the family's 1533-position model. The record is from RNAcentral.
AGGGUUUGAUCAUGGCUCAGGACGAACGCUGGCGGCGUGCUUAACACAUGCAAGUCAAGGAGAACGGAUCCUUCGGGAUACUAUUAAACUGGCGAACGGGUGAGUAACGCGUAGGCAACCUGCCUUGGAGAUUGGGAUAACCCCGGGAAACCGGAGCUAAUACCAAAUAAUGCAGCGGAUCCUUCGGGAUAUGUUGUUAAAGUGGGCUUCGGCUCACACUUCAAGAUGGGCCUGCGUCCGAUUAGCUUGUUGGUGAGGUAAUGGCUCACCAAGGCGAUGAUCGGUAGCUGGUCUGAGAGGAUGAUCAGCCACACUGGGAUUGAGAUACGGCCCAGACUCCUACGGGAGGCAGCAGUGGGGAAUUUUGCGCAAUGGACGAAAGUCUGACGCAGCAACGCCGCGUGAUCGAUGAAGCUUCUAGGAGUGUAAAGAUCUGUCGUGAGGGAAGAAAAAUCUGGAUGUAAAUAAUGUUCAGACGUGACGGUACCUCACAAGAAAGCACCGGCUAACUUCGUGCCAGCAGCCGCGGUAAUACGAGGGGUGCUAGCGUUGUCCGGA